CUACGGGUCGCUGCAGUGAGGAAUUUUGCGCAAUGGGGGGAACCCUGACGCAGCAACGCCGCGUGAGUGAAGAAGGCCUUUGGGUCGUAAAGCUCUGUCAACUGGGAAGAAGUUAUUCAUGUUUAAGAGAUGUGAGUAUUGACGGUACCAGUGGAGGAAGCGUCGGGGAACUCCGUGCCAGCAGCCGCGGUAACACGGGGGACGCAAGCGUUAUUCGGAAUUAUUGGGCGUAAAGGGCGCGUAGGCGGUUUUAUCGGUCAGAUGUGAAAGCCCGGGGCUCAACCCCGGACGUGCAUUUGAAACAGUAAGACUUGAGUACGGGAGAGGAAAGCGGAAUUCCUGGUGUAGAGGUGAAAUUCGUAGAUAUCAGGAGGAACACCAAUGGCGAAGGCAGCUUUCUGGACCGAUACUGACGCUGAGGCGCGAAGGCGUGGGUAGCGAACGGGAUUAGAUACCCGCGUAGUC
RNAcentral lists this ribosomal RNA (465 nucleotides) under uncultured bacterium. RNAcentral describes it as "partial 16S ribosomal RNA". It matches the Rfam family "Bacterial small subunit ribosomal RNA", at positions 339 to 795 of the family's 1533-position model. The record is from RNAcentral.